RNAcentral lists this ribosomal RNA (489 nucleotides) under uncultured bacterium. RNAcentral describes it as "partial 16S ribosomal RNA". It matches the Rfam family "Bacterial small subunit ribosomal RNA", at positions 30 to 507 of the family's 1533-position model. The record is from RNAcentral.
AUUGAACGCUGGCGGCAGGCCUAACACAUGCAAGUCGAACGGUAACAGGAAGAAGCUUGCUUCUUUGCUGACGAGUGGCGGACGGGUGAGUAAUGUCUGGGAAACUGCCUGAUGGAGGGGGAUAACUACUGGAAACGGUAGCUAAUACCGCAUAACGUCGCAAGACCAAAGAGGGGGACCUUCGGGCCUCUUGCCAUCGGAUGUGCCCAGAUGGGAUUAGCUAGGAGGUGGGGUAACGGCUCACCUAGGCGACGAUCCCUAGCUGGUCUGAGAGGAUGACCAGCCACACUGAACUGAGACACGGUCCAGACUCCUACGGGAGGCAGCAGUGGGGAAUAUUGCACAAUGGGCGCAAGCCUGAUGCAGCCAUGCCGCGUGUAUGAAGAAGGCCUUCGGGUUGUAAAGUACUUUCAGCGGGGAGGAAGGGAGUAAAGUUAAUACCUUUGCUCAUUGACGUUACCCGCAGAAGAAGCACCGGCUAACUCCGUG